UACGUAGGGUGCAAGCGUUGUCCGGAAUUAUUGGGCGUAAAGAGCUCGUAGGUGGCCUGUCGCGUCGGCUGUGAAAACUCGGGGCUCAACUCCGAGCUUGCAGUCGAUACGGGCAGGCUAGAGUUCGGCAGGGGGAGACUGGAAUUCCUGGUGUAGCGGUGAAAUGCGCAGAUAUCGGGAGGAACACCGGUGGCGAAGGCGGUUCUCUGGGCCUGUACUGACGCUGAGGAGCGAAAGCGUGGGGAGCGAACAGG
Molecule: ribosomal RNA, 254 nt
Filed under: uncultured bacterium
Lineage: Bacteria
Description: partial 16S ribosomal RNA
Rfam family: Bacterial small subunit ribosomal RNA
Source: RNAcentral